RNA transcript from Oncorhynchus nerka (sockeye salmon), 5558 nucleotides. It is a transcript of the gene named protocadherin alpha-C2-like, with no coding region annotated. NCBI's taxonomy places the organism in Eukaryota, Metazoa, Chordata, Actinopteri, Salmoniformes, Salmonidae. The transcript is spliced from 3 exons. The record is from RefSeq and is a predicted model, not a curated record.
AAUAGCUCGUAGAUGUAAAGUUAUUCGUCUUUAACGGAUUGCUUCAAGUAUUGACCUAAUUUAACAUAUUUCUUUGCAAUAAUGGCGCUUUCCAUUGCAACUGAAUGGACAAGGUGCGUCACCGUUCUCUUUGUAUUCAGCGCGAUGUGGGGAAUUGCUUUGUCCAUUAAUCGCUACUCUAUUCCCGAGGAAAUGCAAGAGGGUUCCGUUGUUGCAAACCUGGCUACAGAUUUGGGACUUGACCUUCGCACUCUGAUAACACGCAAGGCAAAGCUUGACAUCAUCCACAGAAACAAAUAUUUGGACAUUAACAAAGAAACGGGAGACCUGUUCAUACUUGAAAAGAUAGAUAGGGAAUAUAUAUGCUCGAGCAAGACAACGUCUUGUUUUCUGAAAAUGGAUGUCAUAUUUGAAAAUCCCAUUCGAAUUUUUAACAUUGAGCUUGAAAUUAUGGACAUAAAUGACAAUGCACCGGUCUUUCGAAGGGAGACAAUGCACUUGGAUAUUUCAGAAUCUACCGCUGCAGGAGAGAGAUUCUCUUUGACAAAUGCUGUGGAUGCAGAUGUCGGUGCGAAUUCUAUUAAGACUUACUAUUUAAGCGAAAGCAAGUCUUUUAUAAUUGACAUACAGACGGGAAGCGAUGGAUCUAAAUACGUAGAUUUGGUUCUCAACAGUAAUUUAGACAGAGAGGAACAGGCGGUUCAUAAUUUAAUACUAACCGCUGUAGAUGGCGGGGUCCCUGCACGCUCAGGCACAGCCAGUAUCAUCGUUAGGGUUCUGGAUAUCAACGACAACGCCCCUUUUUUUAACCAGCCGAUAUAUGCUAUUAAUGUAACUGAGAACUCCCCAAUUGGAACUCUAGUAAUGACCUUGAACGCAACAGACUUGGACGAGGGCACUAACGCAGAGAUGAUAUAUUCAUACACGUUAUAUACAUCCGAGAAGACACAAGAAAAGUUCUCUCUAAAUUCGAAUACAGGGGAAAUAAAGGUUAAGGAUGUGAUUGAUUUUGAGGAGAGCCACAGUUUCGAUAUAUAUAUUCAAGCCAGAGACCAAGGAUCUAAUUCGUUAUCCGGAGAUUGUAAAAUAAUGAUAUUUAUUACCGAUCUGAAUGACAACUAUCCCGAGGUUACCAUUAAAUCUUUUAAAAGCACGCUCAAGGAAGAUGUUGCCAUAGGAACAUUAAUAGCAGUGAUCAGUAUAAGCGACAGGGACUUUGGGGACAACGGUGAAGUUGAGCUCACUUUGAACCAACAAACAUCCCUACCUUUCGUUCUUAAUAAGUCUUCGGAGGAUUAUUUUGCUCUGCAUGUUUCAGAACCACUGGACCGUGAGACAAUUCCAAGAUAUGAAAUCACUUUCAUAGUCACAGACAAAGGAACACCUCGCUUAUCUGACAAUGAGACAAUCACCUUGGAGAUACUGGAUGUCAACGAUAACUCGCCAAUAUUCCCCCAGUCGUUCUACACAAUCCAUGUUGUGGAGAACAACGUCCCCGGCGCACUGUUGACGUCACUCAGUGCUUUUGACCCGGACCUCCAUGAGAACCAGUAUCUGGUGUAUUUUAUCAUGGAGAAGGAGAUCAUUAACACAUCUAUGUCCAUGCUUUUCUCUAUUAAUCCAGAGAAUGGCAACCUUUACGCUCUGAAGACCUUUGACUUUGAGAGGGAGAGGGAGUUCCUUUUCCACAUAGAGGCCAGAGACUCUGGGGUACCUCCACUGAACAGCAAUGUCACAGUUCACAUCAUCAUUCUGGAUCAGAAUGACAACACCCCGCUCAUAGUGUCACCUUGGCGUGCGCAGGGCUCGGUUAUUGAAGAGGUGAUACCGAGGUCCACUGAUAAAGGAUUCCUAGUUGCCAAAGUAAUCGCCAUUGACGCAGACUCAUUACAGAAUUCACGGGUCACAUAUCAGCUUCUACAGAUCAGUGACUCUAGCCUCUUCAGUCUAGAUCAAUACAAUGGGGAGAUCCGUACCACAAGAAUGUUCAGCUAUAGGGACCCCCGUCAUCAGAGGCUGGUUGUUGUCGCCAAAGACAAUGGAGACCCUGCUCUUUCCGCUACAGUCACCAUCAAGAUAUCAACAGUAGAACACAUGGUGACACCAUUCUCAGAAACUACUGAGUUGCCUUUGGAAUAUGACUUGUUCACAGACUUAAAUCUGUAUUUGGUCAUUGGUUUGGGCUCAGUAUCCUUUCUGCUAUUGAUCACCAUAUUGGUGGUCAUCGUGCUGAAGUGUCAGAAACCGAAGCCCUUGAAGAUGCCUCCUGCUAUGAAUAUGAAUCUGAACAGUCUAAAUAGGAACAGUAUGAUCAGCAGAAACAGUAUCAUCAGCCAGAGGAGCUCUACCAUAGCCGAUUCCACCCUAAUCUCCAGUGAUGCCUACUGGUACAGCCUGUUUCUAGCAGAAACCAGGAAAGGCAAGGUGGUUGUCAGACAGCCUAUAGUACCGAAGGGAGCAGGCUACUUUGUGUCCAGUAUACCCAGAAGCACAGGGCCUACAGAGACCAGCGACUCAAGAGCAUCCACGCUACAGUACUCAAAAUGAAAGGAAGCCCAUUCUACAGCUGGAGGUAUGCUGGUUGCUGGUAACAUGAUGAUUCCAGGGCCAGCAGUGACCUGCCAUGAUGUCCUCAAUCUGGGGUAUUCGGCUGCAGAACGUUCAAAGAAGUUAAGAGUGACCAACACCCCUCCUUCAAUCACUGGGAUCCAACAGUUACCUCUGGGGGCAGCUCGUCGAACCCUCUGCCCAAACAUACCACACCAACCACCUCAGCAACUGUAGACUACCUUUAUCAUCUUCCAUCAAGCAUGAAUCUGCAUGGCUACAUCAACAGGUACUUGUAUUUAGAAAAUAUCAUAAAGAAGAAAGGAACAUCAAACACAAGGUCUUUCAGACAACAUUGGACUGAUGUCAUUAUGCAUAGCACCCUCCCUGGGACUUUUGACUGUAAAUGUGGGACCAGGCACUCAAUAUCUUCCAAAAUCCUACCUUACCUCUCCAAGAAACACAAUUACACAAAAGGGAUAUUCUGUUUAGUCCUUGUGAGGGUUCCUCAUCAUUGUGAUGUCAAUGCAUUAUUGGGGUAUGUGUGAGAGGUCACAAUAUGGUCAAUGCCAUAACUCUGUUAGCUAGUGAAAUAACAAUCUUUGUUCAUCUGUGAAUGUGUAGUGUGCAUAGAUAACUUUUGUACAUUUUGUUUAGAAAUAAUACUAAAGUUUUUCAUCAUUUGGCUUUGUAGACCUUACCAAUUUUCUUGAAUGUGUUGAAUUAUGUUUUUGACUCUGAACAUCAGCCUAUGUUAUGGGAUUAUUUAUCUCCUGAGACAUGGUAUGAGAUAUGCAUGUUGAGUUGGUAACAAGAUAGAUCAAGACCUCAUACCUGUCAUUCAAUGAGCCAGGUAGGAGAGAAGUACCCCAUCUUACUCCACUUCACAUUGCAGACAGAGAUAGCUAAUAUAUUCUCACGGUUGAAAUCUUCAUGAUCACAUUUGACACUGACGCUAUAUUUAGUAUAUUUUGAUGAGAAACAUUUCCUGCUCAGCAUGUGUGUAUAUAUAUAUAUAAAGCACAGACUAUAAUCCAUUUUUUGUGUGAGAAUCAUGUCCAAGGAAAAACUCAGGACAGCGAGAAAUACCCAGAUUUAGUUCCUACCUGCCUAAGCAGGACAAUAUGAGGGUCAAAUGUAGCCAACACUGUAUGUAGAAUAUCUGAGGCACUAAAGGGGUUCACUUUACAACAAUUUAUCAUACCUCUGUCUGAGCCUUCUCAACUAAACUCCACAGGCCUCUGCCAGGUUCCAAUUACUGUAACACUUACUCCAUCCCACACUCCCAGUGUCCCUGUCACUGUGAACAAACCUCAGUGAAUCAGCUAAAGGAGAAUUCAGUGUUAAACAGGAAGCUUAGAGGAAGAAACCAUGUGUACUUUAUAUAAGAAAUGUUACUAUAUUCACUUAAAAAAAUAAGACUGUUUAAAAAAAAGAUUUAUUGUUGUAUAUUUGAAAUGUAUUUAUGUUGGCAUGGUGCAAUACAAUAUUCUGGCCAUGUUUUUAAAGUUUACAAUGUUUUAUGAAUUGUCAUGUUUUUAUUGGAUAUUUUGACCUAACAAUUGUUAACACUGCUUUUUAUGUGACUUAUUCAAGUACAUUGUGUCGCCUACUGUAUGACUUUUGUAUUGCAAUACAUCAUUCAAAUCUUUUAUCUGAUACAGUGUACAGACAAACAAUCUAAAUUAUUUGAUGAAAUGUGAAUGUAGCGCUCCCCUGAUUAAGAAUUUAGCCAAAAUGUUAUUUUAAAUUUAUAGACAUACAGAGUAUCUCUUCUCCCAGCAAUACCCUGAAGUGCAGAGAUUUAAUGCAAGGCAUUAGGUCUUAGAAAUGAGAAACUAGAACAGACAGCACUAUAUACACGUCACAAUGAAGGGAAAGGGCCAAAAGAAGGAGAGAGAGAGUGAUAAGGAGAAAGAAUCUAAAGACGAGUGAGACAGAAAGGGGAUUCCUUUGACGCCAGUGCAUGUCAUGUAUGACCUAUAGGCCCUGCACUCACAAUCCAUCCAGCUAUUCCUAUUCACAGUGAUUUCCACUGAAUCCAGAUCUGGCUACACCACUCAUCUACCACAGGCUGCAGUGCAGUCAUAGUUUGAAGUUCUAAUCAACUCUCCAAUUCUCUCUUUAUCAGUCUCUUCCUAUUUAAAGCCCUGUGUGAAUCAUGACCUCACCUCCCGUCACAAUGUGAGGUCACUGUUUGGGUCUGAGGGCUGAUGGUGUUGGACACACAGCUGUCUGAUUGCUACACUAAUGAUGUGGGCGCUGCCUGCUCUUGUCUGUGGGGAGAAUAUGCUGCCUGAGCCUUGUAUGAAGACACAUUUAUUACACAUUUUAGGCAACAGAAAAUAUUAAACUAAAUUCAGACAUCUUGAGCUCUUUAUGGGUCUCCUGCAUUAUACCAGUACAUGUGACUUGAGGAGAAUGAGAUGAUGGUUCUUAAUCCAGAUUCAAGUCAUGAUUAUUGCAAGGGAUAAGAUGUCAUCUGGAUUCAUUUAGAUCCCAGGCAUUUGGGGAAAAUCUCCCAAGCAGUCAGUGGCUGGAUGAUUGGCUGAUAUGACCUGAGACCUUAAGCUCUACUUUGACAGUGGAUGGGGUUUAAAACCUGUAUCGGCGUAUCUACUUUGUACUUUUUUUAAAUGCAAUAUACUUUUUAUAUCUGAUGUAAUCUCUGCACUUGGCUUGAUGGUACAGGAGGGUGUCUGUGGUGCUUGCUUAAGUAUCAUGCAGAUCAUGUCUGUCUCUGUUGUGUAGCUACACUGCUUAUUCCUGCAUUAUGAUUAUAUGGUCUGACUGUAUCUGCUUCCCUUUCUGUAGGGCUUCCUGUGUUAUUUAUAGGUGGGUGGGGGGCGGGGACACAACCCACAACGCUGAUUGGCAGAUGCGAGUUAAAAAGUGAGUGAGAGAGAAUGGCAUUGCUACAUUUUUUUAUUCAAAAACAGUUUGGAUGUUGUUUCUGUUGCUUAAAUGUCCUGCUUGUAGAUGCUGGUGUCAAUAAAGCUUUAAGAUAUGUG